RNAcentral lists this ribosomal RNA (507 nucleotides) under uncultured bacterium. RNAcentral's name for it is "partial 16S ribosomal RNA". It matches the Rfam family "Bacterial small subunit ribosomal RNA", at positions 30 to 523 of the family's 1533-position model. The record is from RNAcentral.
ACUGAACGCUGGCGGCAUGCCUUACACAUGCAAGUCGAACGGCAGCGGGGGAGAAGCUUGCUUUUCCUGCCGGCGAGUGGCGAACGGGUGAGUAAUACAUCGGAACGUGCCCUGUAGUGGGGGAUAACUAGUCGAAAGAUUAGCUAAUACCGCAUACGACCUGAGGGUGAAAGUGGGGGACCGCAAGGCCUCAUGCUAUAGGAGCGGCCGAUGUCUGAUUAGCUAGUUGGUGGGUAAAGGCCUACCAAGGCGACGAUCAGUAGCUGGUCUGGCAGGAGGAUCAACCAAACUGGGACUGGGACACGGCCCAGACGCCUACAGGAGGCAGAGGUGGGGAAUUUUGGACAAUGGGCGAAAACCUGGUCCAGCAAUGCCGCGUGUGUGAAGAAGGCCUUCGGGUUGUAAAGCACUUUUGUCCGGAAAGAAAUGGCUCUGGUUAAUACCUGGGGUCGAUGACGGUACCGGAAGAAUAAGGACCGGCUAACUACGUGCCAGCCGCCGCCGCGG